Molecule: long non-coding RNA, 101 nt
Organism: Melanotaenia boesemani (Boeseman's rainbowfish)
Lineage: Eukaryota; Metazoa; Chordata; Actinopteri; Atheriniformes; Melanotaeniidae
Exons: 3
Source: RefSeq, a predicted model, not a curated record
ACUUGGAAACAAAGGAAAAAUAUUAGUGUGUGAGAGUGUGUGUUAUAAUCAAACCAGGAAUGAACAAGUGUUUGAAUAACCAGUCUAAUCUAAACAAAUAA